UCUGUGGCAAUAUGGGGUUGGGUAGU
This 26-nucleotide non-coding RNA is filed under the name Homo sapiens (human). The record is from RNAcentral. Lineage: Eukaryota; Metazoa; Chordata; Mammalia; Primates; Hominidae.